Molecule: small nuclear RNA, 98 nt
Organism: Ochlerotatus camptorhynchus
Lineage: Eukaryota; Metazoa; Arthropoda; Insecta; Diptera; Culicidae
Product: U12 minor spliceosomal RNA
Exons: 1
Source: RefSeq, a predicted model, not a curated record
UUGCCUUAAACUAAUGAGUAAGGAAAAUUACGAGCCCUGCUAACGCUCGGCUCAGCUUCCUCUCUGCAGUUGUCAUCAACUGCGUAAGCGAUCAAAUG